GAUGAACGCUGGCGGCGUGCCUAAUACAUGCAAGUCGAGCGAACGGACGAGAAGCUUGCUUCUCUGAUGUUAGCGGCGGACGGGUGAGUAACACGUGGAUAACCUACCUAUAAGACUGGGAUAACUUCGGGAAACCGGAUCUAAUACCGGAUAAUAUUUUGAACCGCAUGGUUCAAAAGUGAAAGACGGUCUUUCUGUCACUUAUAGAUGGUUCCGCGCUGCAUUAGCUAGUUGGUAAGGUAACGGCUUACCAAGGCAACGAUGCAUAGCCGACCUGAGAGGGUGAUCGGCCACACUGGAACGGAGACACGGUCCAGAGUCCUACGGGAGGCAGCAGUAGGGAAUCUUCCGCAAUGGGCGAAAGCCUGACGGAGCAACGCCGCGUGAGUGAUGAAGGUCUUCGGAUCGUAAAACUCUGUUAUUAGGGAAGAACAUAUGUGUAAGUAACUGUGCACAUCUUGACGGUACCUAAUCAGAAAGCCACGGCUAACUACGUG
RNAcentral lists this ribosomal RNA (497 nucleotides) under uncultured bacterium. Its description in RNAcentral is "partial 16S ribosomal RNA". It matches the Rfam family "Bacterial small subunit ribosomal RNA", at positions 28 to 507 of the family's 1533-position model. The record is from RNAcentral.